AAUGAAGAGGAGCUUGCUCCUCGGAUUUAGCGGCGGAUGGGUGAGUAACACGUGGGCAACCUGCCCUGCAGACUGGGAUAACUUCGGGAAACCGGAGCUAAUACCGGAUAAUCUAUUUCACCACAUGGUGAAAUACUGAAAGGCGCUUUCGCGUCACUGCAGGAUGGGCCCGCGGUGCAUUAGCUAGUUGGUGGGGUAAUGGCCUACCAAGGCGACGAUGCAUAGCCGACCUGAGAGGGUGAUCGGCCACAUUGGGACUGAGACACGGCCCAAACUCCUACGGGAGGCAGCAGUAGGGAAUCUUCCACAAUGGACGAAAGUCUGAUGGAGCAACGCCGCGUGAGUGAUGAAGGUUUUCGGAUCGUAAAACUCUGUUGUAAGGGAAGAACAAGUACGUUAGGAAAUGAACGUACCUUGACGGUACCUUAUUAGAAAGCCACGGCUAACUACGUGCCAGCAGCCGCGGUAAUACGUAGGUGGCAAGCGUUGUCCGGAAUUAUUGGGCGUAAAGCGCGCGCAGGUGGUUUCUUAAGUCUGAUGUGAAAUCUUGUGGCUCAACCACAAGCGGUCAUUGGAAACUGGGAGACUUGAGUGCAGAAGAGGAAAGUGGAAUUCCAAGUGUAGCGGUGAAAUGCGUAGAGAUUUGGAGGAACACCAGUGGCGAAGGCGACUUUCUGGUCUGUAACUGACGCUGAGGCGCGAAAGCAUGGGGAGCAAACAGGAUUAGAUACCCUGGUAGUCCAUGCCGUAAACGAUGAGUGCUAAGUGUUAGGGGGUUUCCGCCCCUUAGUGCUGUAGCU
RNAcentral lists this ribosomal RNA (800 nucleotides) under uncultured bacterium. Its description in RNAcentral is "bacterial SSU rRNA". It matches the Rfam family "Bacterial small subunit ribosomal RNA", at positions 69 to 853 of the family's 1533-position model. The record is from RNAcentral.